RNAcentral lists this long non-coding RNA (461 nucleotides) under Elaeis guineensis (African oil palm). RNAcentral's name for it is "long non-coding RNA (EGUI_LNC012009)". Lineage: Eukaryota; Viridiplantae; Streptophyta; Magnoliopsida; Arecales; Arecaceae. The record is from RNAcentral.
AUGGCUCUUGGGGAUGUGUUGGCAUAGAAGUAGAGGAGUCCUUCUGCUUGAAGGCUUUUCCACACCCAAUUACUUUCAUAUAAAGAAUUAAUUAUUUAGAGGAAAUUAUGGGACGUCGCUUUGGAUGUUUUUGUGCCAAACAUUAUUUUUCUCUCUAGCCUCUUAAUUCUUACACACCUAGGAUUAUGGAAUCAAAAGAAGAAAGAGUCCUUCUACUCCUAAACUUUCCCACACACCAAUUUACUUAUGGUGAUUUAUUUCACCGCAUGAGGAAUAUGGGACGCCAAAGGUUGGCAUCCAUUGGAAGUAGGAUAGUUCCCCUUCUUUUCUAUUUAUAGGGGGUGCUACAUCUGGUUCCAUGUCCCAAUAUGGGCUGAGGAUAGGUGUGAGAAUGAGAGAAAAAAGGGAGAAAAAGUUUGAAAAAAGAUAAGAAAAAAAGGGAGAAAGAAAAAUAGAAAGGA